CGUGGAGUGAAAUGUCUGGAUAAAAGAGAAAAGCAACAUCGUCCAGCCCUACCCAUCCUUAGCAGACACACACAUGAAUCUGCAAGUCCUGGCUCACACUCCCUCCUGAGAGAUCUACCGCCUCGUAGUGAAACUGUGUGUGAACGUUUUCUCUGUGGGCAGAAAGAAACCUGAGGCCUCAGCGAGAGCGUCUUCAAAACACCAACAGUCAACGUCCGGCAGGGUCAGACGAAAUCCCUCAGGAGGAUGAACGCACCGCAACGCGGUGUUAAAAGCCACGGUUGAAAGAACACCGCGAGAGGUUGUGUUUAUAGUAUGGACACAGAAAACAGGUGGAACAACAAAUCAACUUUUUUUCCAACCACAUAUAUUCCUGCUCUACUUUGUGUUGGUCUAUUAAAUGAAACCUCAAAAAAAUGCAUCAAAGCUGGUGGUUGCAGCAUGACAAUGUGUGAAAAAGUUCCCAGGCAGUGUGUU
Non-coding RNA from Poecilia reticulata (guppy), 477 nucleotides. The record is from RefSeq and is a predicted model, not a curated record. NCBI's taxonomy places the organism in Eukaryota, Metazoa, Chordata, Actinopteri, Cyprinodontiformes, Poeciliidae.